UCUAGAAGUUUUUUGCAUUCCUGACACACUCACAGUGACACAGUUCAGUGCCGUUGUGAGCCAGUGAUCUCUGUGGCCUGUGGCAAGGCUACACACUACACACACACAGCGACUUACUAACAAUCAACGUAUUCAUUUCAAGUACCGAGGUGUGUCUCUUGUGGGAACGAUUUUUUUAGCGUGGGUUUUGCGCUGCUAAGACUGGACAUCGUUGUAAUUUACAGACGUGCACUCAUAGACGGAAAGACAAAGUCCAGCUAUGUCUUCGGAAAGAGUAACCAACACCACCUACUUCUACAAGAUACGUAAAGUCAUGGACUUACCCCAACAUGUUCGUACCAGGUACUCCCCUGACGCUUGGUUCCUGGGAAACUUGGGGUUCCGUGCAUACUACAUCAUUUCUGUGUGGUCUUCAAGCGGCAUAACGCUAGGCAUGUACAUGAGCCAUUGUCAUUCCACCAUGGGCCAGCCCGUCAGAGGGCGCAUUGGUCUGGUAGAUCUGUCGGAGCGGAAAAAUCCCUCUGUCUUACUGGCUGAUGAGACAAGGGGGGAUGCAGAGGACUGGGCGAGGGGUGUGGAGAUCGAAGUGGAUUUGGACCGUCAUAAGAAAUAUUCUUCUCAUGGAGCAUAUUUGUUCAGGUUUGAUGUGGAGUAUGCUUAGAUGUAAAUAAAAGUUGAAGUUAUUUUGGCAGGCAUUGUUUUUGGUUAUUACUAGAAUAUCAGAAUUAUUGGUAUACCUCUUUUCCUGAAAAUAACAGGACUAACUAUUCUUUUCUUUUGGUAAUUGUAACAUCUCUGUUGUGAAAAACCACUGAUGGUGUUGUGCUUUAACUGUGUAGGUGGAAAAGAUGAGUCACCUUUUUUUUUCCUAAAACAAUUGCUGAGGUUUAUCUGCCGGUCCUCAGAAGAAAUCGAGAGUCAGCAUUUGCUAUAAAUAGUAUUAUUAAGUACUGUAAGCUAAGUGUUGAGUUACUCUCACCUUUUGAUUCAGAAUAGUUUUUUUCUUUUUACCUCUUGAAUAAUUUGGAAGAAGCCAAUUACAUGGAUAAAGCAGAACACCGUUAAUGAUGGUCAGCUUACGCCCAUUUCCUCAGGUAUCCAGUGUGUUUUUUUGUUUGUUGAACUCUUGAGAUAUGAUAGUGACUGAGCUCCAUAAUUGGCCUUUGAUGUAAAGAUGUAUGCAGCUAAGUAAUUAAAUAAAGACAUUUUAUUUUGCUGAAAUUACAAAUCUGCAGAAUUUAUAUAUUUUUAAACUGGAUUCAUAGAUUAGUGAAAGAACUUCGUUUUCAUCUGGAUCUAGCUAGAGACCACAUCUGUUUGUGCUUCUCUUCAUAUUGUACCAAUGCACAUUGUUUUUAAUUCUAUUUACAAAUGUCUGUGUUCAUUUCUCUCUCUCUCUCUCUCUCUCUCUCUCUCUCUCUCUCUCUCUCUCUCUCUCCCUCUCUCCCUCUCUCCCUCUCUCUCUCUCUCUCUCUCUCUCUCUCUUGAAAAAUGCACGGCAAAAAGUGACACCAGAACAACUUACUAAGAGGAGAAACCUGAAUUGAUGGGUGAAUUGAAAAUAACAGGACCGUGUAGGUUUUUUGAAAGCAUCCAUGUAGAGCAGUGAAUGGAGAAUGAUGAUCCCUGAUAUAUCUGUCUGUUUCAGAUUUGUCAAAUUGCACAGUCUUCAAUUCAGUUCUCAGUCUUAUUUUGAUAUUCUAUCAUGUGGGGUUUUUUUUUAACAGUCUGAGACUUUUUUGGGGUUUUCUUUUUAAUAUUAUUUUGGUGCAAAUUUAGACGCUAUGUAAUGUUUAUAAUGCAUAUUUUUAUUUGCCGUUGCAAACUCAUUUUAUACACUAUGAGAGAUGAUGCCUGUAGGUGUUUUAAGAGAUUGUCAACUUUUUGUGUGUAUUAUUUUACAUCGUAAGGGAUUUGUGAUUUUAAAAAAAGUUUGCUCACAUAUUAUUUAUGGUUGUGAUUGUAAAAUUGUGAAUGUGAAGUUGUUUUUGGAUGUAUUUUUUUUUGUAGUUUGGGUGGGGGUAUUUUGGAACUUUUAUGGAAGCUCCGUCUCCUGCUUAUGUCAGGACAAAACAGUGUAGUAACACGUCUUUUUAUUGUAAUUGAACCUCAGUUGAUAUGAGGGAAAUAGCAUGGAAUUUGACCCCGAAGUUGUGAACGGAUCUAUGGGAGUUAAUCUCUGAAGUACCUAUGUGGAUAUAAAGGUACUGCAGACAUUUUGAAGGAACAGACUUUGACGUCUUAAGCCUGUUUAUGGUUCUUGGCUUUUAUACAAAGAUAUGGUUGAUGUUUUGAAGAAACAAACUCUGAAGUUGUAAAUAAAUGUAAUGUUUUACAGUUGUAACACGUGUGGUGAGGUUUGAUGUCCAAGUGAUUAUAACAUUUAAAAAUAGUAUAUUGUCAGCAUCAUUCUACAUUUUUACCGAAAUCAAUUUUUAAAUGUGUCCAGAUGAAGCCAUAUAUCUGAAUAAAGACAUCAGGAGGCGUUUCACAAUGCAGUUUCGUGCUGUUUCUUUAAUUCAGUUCUUGGUUUUAAUCAAAUAACAAAUCAUAAAAACCCAAGUCACGUUUCUGAUUUGGGCUAUCCCUUUUGCUUUAAUUUUCUCAAAACUUCAAACAUGACUUGUUGAAUGACGCUAAUGAUAUUCUUAUUGCAUCAGUCAGCUCAUGAAGCUGACUAGGAUCAUGAGGAAAACAUUUCUCUAUGGUGCCGUCAUAAUCUGGUUUGUUAGAGAGGUAAAUGAGACAGGCUCUUGUUCAAUUUUUUUUUUUCAAGUUUAUUUUGCCUACUACUGGUUGGUCCUACUUCUUUUCUUUCCUUUUGUAUUUUCUGUCCACUUUUUCUGUGUACUUAAUGACUGUCAUCUUGUCAAUGUGCUUCUUCUUAUAACCCAAACUAAUGCUGUAUUGGUAACUUGUCUUUAGGAAGGUGAUUGUUUUAUUUUCUAGAUUUAGGAUAAGGUGUGUGUGUGCUUGCAUGUGUGCAUAAGAUGUCCUGUUAUUGCAAUAAUAAACAACUUUUACCAUCCUUGGAUGAGAAUGUAUUGUCACAUAUGUAAUAUACAAUAUUCACUGAGCACUGGGAUCUUAGGCGGAGACUAUUGUAUAUAUAUAUAUUUUAUACCUCUGUGAAAUUCAUGACUUGUUUCUUUCUGCUUCGCUUGUUUUUGGUACAAUUAUUUAAAAUGUCAUAGAUUGUAAUUUAUGGUUACAGGUGGAUGGUGAGCACCACUGGUACGUCUCACUUUUAUUCUUUUCAAUACAUUGUCUCUGCCUGUCUAUCUUGCCUUUUCUAUAAUUUAAUAUGCUAAGUGACCAUAUUCGUAUCAACCAAUGUACUCAAUCCCAGAACUUACAGUAAUUUUGAGGGUUUUGUUUUGUAUAGACUUUUUAUACAGUCCCUAAACAAAAUUUUAAUAUGAAUUCACUGAGCCCUGGACCUCUUGUACAUGUGUACAGAACAUCAGCCACUGAGCUCCUGGGAGAAAUCUCCUCCACUCACACCACUUAAUUCUGAAGCAAUUUUGAUGGAUGAAGGGCAAAGGUUGUGCAUGCUGUGUUGUGCACUUGUGCUCAGGUGGAUUAAUAUGUUAAUGUAAGAAUGUUUUUUAUAAAGCCACAUACAUAGGCCACCAUGCAUUGUCCGUUUGUUUAUCUUUAUGUCUUAAUUUGUAGCUUGAGUCCUUUGUAUUAUCUGUUGUGGUCUUGAAUGCUAUUUUUUUCCCCCUUUAAAGCGAUGUGUACAUGAUGCUCGUAGACAUCGUCUGUUAGUGCAUGAAUGGCUGGCUUACCAUUAGACCUAUACAUUUUUUUGCGUCUUUGAAAUCAUUUUAUUUAUAUUAUCUUCUUUGAUCAAGCUGCAAGGUUAAUUGGUAUCAUGCUGGACUGUGGCUUCAGCAAGCCUGGUUCAAAUCCUCAAAGGGGGCAGUGUUAAGCUAAUUGAGGAGAUUCCUUAACUGAAUUUGUUGUUUUGAAAAUUAUGCUUUCAUACCUUGCCAUACCAACCAUUAUUUAUUCUAUUGUGCCACUGUUUCUGUGAUUGGUUAUCUUUUAAAAGAAGCAGUACUUUGAAAUUCAUACAGAUUUUUCAAUCCUCUUUUCUUCAUCUGAAAUGGCAAGCAAUAACAUGCAUACUAUGAAAUGUGUGAAUUCAUGUUUCUGAUUUGUGUCCGACGGUUCGAAAUGUGCCUCAACAUUAUUUUGGUAUACUGCUCGUCCGACAUGUGUCCACUGUAUCCGUAAAGAGUUAAAAAUCAUUCUGUGAGACCUUCAUUAUGUAGGUAAAAGGAACUUUUCCAAGAGCGAAUGAGGAAAUGUGAAGUGUGCAAUACAUAUAAAUGUGAAAAAGCUGAGUGUUUACAAUUUUGAUUUUACUGGGGAUUUUUUGUUAAAGAUCUGAAUUCUGUUGCUUACAUGUAGCCUGUUUUGAGUACCCUCUGCUUUCUAGAAUUAAUCAAAUGCUUCAGCUUUGGCUUAGUUUAGUAGCUCAUAUUUUAUUUUUAAAAGUUGAUCAUAAGUAACUUUUGUACCAGAAUGGAUUUAUCUUUUUUUUUGGUUUUAUUUUGGGUGUUUUGAUUGGGGGGAUGAGCAUCUGAAUAAAGAAAUGAAUCGCAGACCUUGUCUGUUUGAGAUCCGGCUCUAGAACGAGAAGAACAUUUCUGCCAACUCACUUAAUCUUAAAAGUAGGCCUAUCAUUAUCUUCUCCUGCUCCUGACCCAGUCUGCCUGUAAGACCAGACUCAGACUCUGAGAACACACCAAAUUGGACUGGACGGAAUGAAGAUUCUCUUUCUAUUAUAUGUCAUCAAAUCAAUAUAAUCUGAUCUCCCCUGCAGAACUGACACCUUUCUUUUUCUGAUGCAUAGACCUAUUCCGUAUAAGUAAUUAUGACCUAAUCUUUUGUUCACCGUGCCAUAUUGUUUUGUAUAUUUACUUUGGACAAAUUGUCUGGAAACCACUCUGGCAUGGACAGGAUUAAAGAAAACUUGCACAUACCUUGUUCUGAUUGUGGACCAAAGGGCGAAAAUGUGCGGAAUAGCAACAACAACAACAGCAACCUUUGUGAAAAGAAAUUGACUUUAAAUUGGUGUCUCCCUUUUCUCAUUCUAUUACUAAUGAUUACGGUAUGCUCAAGGUUAAUUAUGAUUUUUAUUUUCGUCCUGAAGACUGGUGUUAGCUUGAAAUUAGUGCUUUAAAAUAUUUCUCCUUCUCCUGUGAGAUGUGAGUUUUUGUGUAUAAAUUGAAUAUUUAGACACCAAUAAUCAUAGUUCUUGUAUAAUGGAGCUCUUCUUAAUUAUAAUUAUAAAAAUGCAUAGUCCUCAUGAAGGGUACUAAUAGAAAUUGCUUGUAGACUGGGCUGCAUUGGAAAUUGAUCAUUGCUGUUGGUGUUUUGCAGAAUGUUUUGGAAUGAUACACGUAUUUUGCUCAGAAAACAUUUUUUGGGUAUGAAACUAUUAUACAUCUAUGCACUCAGGCAGACAUGCUGUACAUACAUAUUCAAAGAAUUUCUUUCAUAAUUUUUAUCCUUACUUUGCUUUAUAAUUAGUAUGUUUAGUAUGUUGUACACAUACUUGUUAUAUUUUUUAUUGCGAUAUAUUUCCCUCCUUUUGACUAUCGUUCCAUUUUGUCUAAUUUGUCAGCAUGGUAGUUUUAAUAAACACUACGUAGUACUCAUGA
Long non-coding RNA from Aplysia californica (California sea hare), 5675 nucleotides. RefSeq lists it as uncharacterized. The transcript has 2 exons. Lineage: Eukaryota; Metazoa; Mollusca; Gastropoda; Aplysiida; Aplysiidae. The record is from RefSeq and is a predicted model, not a curated record.